RNAcentral lists this ribosomal RNA (497 nucleotides) under uncultured bacterium. RNAcentral's name for it is "partial 16S ribosomal RNA". It matches the Rfam family "Bacterial small subunit ribosomal RNA", at positions 28 to 507 of the family's 1533-position model. The record is from RNAcentral.
GAUGAACGCUGGCGGCGUGCCUAAUACAUGCAAGUCGAGCGAACGGACGAGAAGCUUGCUUUUCUGAUGUUAGCGGCGGACGGGUGAGUAACACGUGGAUAACCUACCUAUAAUACUGGGAUAACUUCGGGAAACCGGAGCUAAUACCGGAUAAUAUUUUGAACCGCAUGGUUCAAAAGUGAAAGACGGUCUUUCUGUCACUUAUAGAUGGAUCCGCGCUGCAUUAGCUAGUUGGUAAGGUAACGGCUUACCAAGGCAACGAUGCAUAGCCGACCUGAGAGGGUGAUCGGCCACACUGGAACUGAGACACGGUCCAGACUCCUACGGGAGGCAGCAGUAGGGAAUCUUCCGCAAUGGGCGAAAGCCUGACGGAGCAACGCCGCGUGAGUGAUGAAGGUCUUCGGAUCGUAAAACUCUGUUAUUAGGGAAGAACAUAUGUGUAAGUAACUGUGCACAUCGUGACGGUACCUAAUCAGAAAGCCACGGCUAACUACGUG